GUUGACCUCGGAUCAGGUAGGAAUACCCGCUGAACUUAAGCAUAUCAAUAAGCGGAGGAAAAGAAACCAACAGGGAUUGCCCUAGUAACGGCGAGUGAAGCGGCAACAGCUCAAAUUUGGAAUCUGGCCCCCCCAGGGCCCGAGUUGUAAUUUGCAGAGGAUGCUUUUGGCGCGGCGCCUUCCGAGUUCCCUGGAACGGGACGCCAUAGAGGGUGAGAGCCCCGUCUGGUCGGACGCCAAGCCAGUGUAAAGCUCCUUCGACGAGUCGAGUAGUUUGGGAAUGCUGCUCUAAACGGGAGGUAUAUGUCUUCUAAAGCUAAAUACCGGCCAGAGACCGAUAGCGCACAAGUAGAGUGAUCGAAAGAUGAAAAGCACUUUGAAAAGAGGGUUAAACAGUACGUGAAAUUGUUGAAAGGGAAGCGCUUGUGACCAGACUUGGGCCCGGUGAAUCAUCCAGCGUUCUCGCUGGUGCACUUUGCCGGGCCCAGGCCAGCAUCAGUUCGCCGCGGGGGACAAAAGCUCCGGGAACGUGGCUCCCCCGGGAGUGUUAUAGCCCGUUGCACAAUACCCUGCGGUGGACUGAGGUUCGCGCUCCGCAAGGAUGCUGGCGUAAUGGUCAUCAGUGACCCGUCUUGAAACACGGACCAAGGAGUCGUCUUCGUAUGCGAGUGUUCGGGUGUCAAACCCCUACGCGGAAUGAAAGUGAACGCAGGUGAGAGCUUCGGCGCAUCAUCGACCGAUCCUGAUGUUCUCGGAUGGAUUUGAGUAAGAGCAUACGGGGCCGGACCCGAAAGAAGGUGAACUAUGCCUGUGUAGGGUGAAGCCAGAGGAAACUCUGGUGGAGGCUCGCAGCGGUUCUGACGUGCAAAUCGAUCGUCAAACAUGGGCAUGGGGGCGAAAGACUAAUCGAACCUUCUAGUAGCUGGUUUCCGCCGAAGUUUCCCUCAGGAUAGCAGUGUUGAU
This 963-nucleotide ribosomal RNA is filed under the name Tolypocladium jezoense. RNAcentral describes it as "eukaryotic LSU rRNA". It matches the Rfam family "Eukaryotic large subunit ribosomal RNA", at positions 1 to 991 of the family's 3401-position model. Lineage: Eukaryota; Fungi; Ascomycota; Sordariomycetes; Hypocreales; Ophiocordycipitaceae. The record is from RNAcentral.